RNAcentral lists this ribosomal RNA (253 nucleotides) under uncultured bacterium. RNAcentral's name for it is "partial 16S ribosomal RNA". It matches the Rfam family "Bacterial small subunit ribosomal RNA", at positions 524 to 776 of the family's 1533-position model. The record is from RNAcentral.
UACGUAGGGGGCUAGCGUUGUCCGGAUUUAUUGGGUUUAAAGGGUGCGUAGGCGGCUUUGUAAGUCAGUGGUGAAAUAUGGCAGCUUAACUGUCAGGGUGCCAUUGAUACUGCAGAGCUUGAGUACAGAUGAGGUAGGCGGAAUUGACGGUGUAGCGGUGAAAUGCUUAGAUAUCGUCAAGAACACCUAUAGCGAAGGCAGCUUACUAGGCUGUAACUGACGCUGAGGCACGAAAGUGUGGGGAUCAAACAGG